UAAAGAAAAGGCGUCUCAUGGAUAUCUCACCAUGUGACCAGGGAGAAGAUUAUGAUGCAGAUUCAAGUGGUGGAUCAAACAUGCUUUUGCCACCAAGGAGCAGUUCUGGUGACAACAGUUCCCUGUUCAGGGCACUACCAACUCUCUUCCCAUCAUGAGCUGCACCACCCAAGAAGAUGGGACAUGCCAGUGAAGCACUGAUUCUUGUCCUUCAGAUCCAGCAUCAGCCCUGUUCUGCUCUUUGAAGGGUCCCACUGUCUUAUUGCAGUUGGACCCACUCCCAUCACCACAUUUGCCACAGAUGACCUUGGAGAAGCAGAGACAGACACAGAGACUGCCAAGACAGCAACUGGGGUGAAGUGUCAUGGCGUUUGGGCUCCGACUAGUCACCUCGAGAGGAUGGAUCCCAUAAACACAGCAAUAACCAUGAAGGGGUUGGCGAAAAUCCAGGAAUCAACCAGAAGAGGGGGACCCAGAAAAGAAGCACAGACCACUAGAGAUUCACCAGUGUAAGGGGUAUCUCACCGGUGUCAGUGGGUUCAGUGGUGAGGGAGGAGUGCUGAUUGAGCUCAGCUCGCACUCUCAUUCUCUCCAGCCACUGACCAACUUUAGGCUCACUGAUACUUUUGUGUGUGACCAACCUCAAGCAUGAAGUGUUCUCAAGUGGGAGCUGGCGUCUUACUACUCGACCACCUCGAACACCUGAGGUUGUUGUCUCAUUCCCUGAGCCAGAGGACGGCUACAGAGGGUCAGAGCGAGGGCAGUGGACCUGGGAACAGUGACCCGGGCCCAUGAUGCCAUUGUUGAACAUGGAAGCAGCCGAGCAGGCCGAGGAGUGACGCAACGCAACGUAUGGUGGCCUCUUGUGGUCAAGAGGUCAAGAGAGGGAGUGUGGAGAUCAGGGAAAUAUUUUACUGCUAAUAUUCAUAAUCAUCAUCAUUACCAUUGCAUUAAUUAUCAUUUCAUCAAAGCAUUUAUUGAAGCUGUUGGCCUUAAGUUAAAACUUGUAUUACAGGUGCAGCUAUAAUCAUUUUCUACACACCUUGCAUUUGUGCUUAUUUAAAGAGUUGAAGCUCAGUCAGUUAAUUGAGGGUCGUAAGCUUUGUUUGGCGCUAUGUCCAGACAAUCUAUUGUGUACGUGACUUUGAGCUAUGAAAAGAUGGCCUACACGCUUACAAAGCACAUAUACCACGUUAUACAUUAUUAUCUUUUAUUUGUUUAUAUCCUUUUUAUUAAGCUUUCGGUAGUGGCAUUUGAUUAGAACAUUUAUUCAACAUAUUACAUAUAUAGUUUCAGUUAGGUUAUUGCACACAUGAGAGUUUGCCUCUGUCCUCACAGACAGAGUGCAUUUUGAGGUCGAGACACACACACACACACAUAAACAGUAGUUAGACUCAUGUUUAUGUAACAGUUCAAAUAAUAGUUUGCAAAAGCUUGUGACUGCAAAAUUAUGUCUGCAUGAGGGACAGUUUGUUCUAGGGGAUAAGCGAGAGUUAGAAGAUUAACAGGAGGCACCUGGCCUCGAGAUGGAGAAGAGGUCCUUUCUAAAUGUGUCAAAAGUCGUCAACAGAACACGUGUGGUUUUGAAACUUAUGUGUGUAUUGUAUCUGCUUGACGCAUGAGGGGGCGUCUAACCCUGAUGUUAUAAAAACAACUGCUUGUGUAGUCUUGGGCGGAGAUCGAUGCUGACUGUGUGCAGUGUUCAUCUCCCCACGCGUGUGUUCAUUAAAAAUCAUUGUUUGACCGACUCUUCUGGACCAUUGUUGUUUUUGUACCCAUCCUCAAUAUCUGA
Pelmatolapia mariae (spotted tilapia) is the source of this 1792-nucleotide long non-coding RNA. RefSeq lists it as uncharacterized. The record is from RefSeq and is a predicted model, not a curated record. The transcript has 4 exons. NCBI's taxonomy places the organism in Eukaryota, Metazoa, Chordata, Actinopteri, Cichliformes, Cichlidae.